Molecule: non-coding RNA, 477 nt
Organism: Pelodiscus sinensis (Chinese soft-shelled turtle)
Lineage: Eukaryota; Metazoa; Chordata; Testudines; Trionychidae
Source: RefSeq, a predicted model, not a curated record
GGCAUUUCCUCCUUGGAGCUUAAAAGGCUCAGACAGGGCUGGGGAGCUGGGCUGCAGGAGGCCGCCACAGCAAGGAGUACAGACACAUGUAGUCAGCCGAAGGCCACUCGUGUGAGCAGGAAGAUGAACCUGUGAGGUGUUUACGGACUAUUCGGCGAGGCAUAAAUAAGGCCACGGAUGAGCUGAGGGACCAGACUGUAGACGUGUUGAGAUGCUAUGGCAAGGAAAAAGAACGUGCACCAGAAGCAUUUGUGACAAGUAUUUUCAGAAUGGUUUCUACAUUUGUAGAGGUUGCCUGCAGACCAUCCUGUACAAGUCUAUACAAAUCAACUGGUGAUCUCCAAGCACAGAUCUCAUCAUUUUUGAUACAAUGAAAGAAAUUUUUCAUUUCUUCUUCAAAAAGAUGUUUGUCUAUGUCCUCUUGGUAGAAUUCACUUAAUUUCUUACUGUAGUGGCUUUUAGCAGCUUCAGCUAGAC